CAUCAAAUCCUGCCUGCAGGAUAUUUAAAAGCUCGCUGCAGCCUGAGAGACAAAACCAGAAUCACAAUGUGGAUCCUGGGGACAGAAAUUACUGGAAAAAGUCCUGAAAUAAUGCUUUUUUUCCAGCCUUUCAUAUAGAGAGAUAUAUGUCACAACACAGUGAUUAACAGCUGAGUUGUGGAAGUUAUGGCAAGGAUUGGGAGUGAUUUUGUUCCCAGUGCUGAGAAAUAACAUCUCUUCAGCGUGGCAGCACUGCUUUGAUUGAUAUUGAAGGUAUUUUCUGAAAAUACUCAUUGACAUCCAAAAA
Molecule: long non-coding RNA, 307 nt
Filed under: Zonotrichia albicollis (white-throated sparrow)
Lineage: Eukaryota; Metazoa; Chordata; Aves; Passeriformes; Passerellidae
Description: lncRNA (ENSZALG00000002647.1)
Source: RNAcentral